UGCCUGUCUGCUCUUUUACUUUCACACAUGCAGCUCAAUGCAGGCAACUUGCCGCAUCUCCCCCCCAAAAACUUGCAAACACCACGAUUGUACCACCGCGAUUGAACAUUAUGUUGCGCUGCAGGAUCAUGACACGAGUGGACCCCCCCCCCCCCCCCGAUCUGACAGGAGGAGGAAACUGAUCUGGAUGUGCUUAUUGGAGCGCGCAGGCAGAGCUCUGCGUUUAAUAGCCAUGACCAGGUUCAGUGAAGUACUCUGAUGCAACACACCUCCCAUUCUCUGAUCCUGUGAGAAAACAGAAAAUGGAAAAUGGUGGGCUUCCUUUUAGGAUCAAAGGCAGUGAUGCAUAAAGAAACAUAGGUUUCUGUAGUCCCGCUGCCAGUGUCUUUCUGCAUACUUGCUUCCGUGCUGUUCUUGAGCAUGGAAAACCAUUUGGAUGAGUCGGAUGAUUCCUUCCACCACUAUGAGCCAGUAGUCUGUGGACACGGCCACCCCCACCAGCAGCAGCCCGCAGGCUCCGAACACAGUCGACAGGAUGGUCAGUGCGCGACUGCUGCAC
Long non-coding RNA from Oryzias latipes (Japanese medaka), 559 nucleotides. RefSeq lists it as uncharacterized. The record is from RefSeq and is a predicted model, not a curated record. Lineage: Eukaryota; Metazoa; Chordata; Actinopteri; Beloniformes; Adrianichthyidae.